This 1346-nucleotide long non-coding RNA is filed under the name Camelus dromedarius (Arabian camel). RNAcentral's name for it is "lncRNA (ENSCDRG00005018855.1)". Lineage: Eukaryota; Metazoa; Chordata; Mammalia; Artiodactyla; Camelidae. The record is from RNAcentral.
AUCCACCUUACUUCUAGUUUUUUUUAAUUUCUAAUCUCACUUUGGACUCUCUCGAUUAUUUUCUCUGAUCUCCCUUAAAGUAAGGAGUAUCCGUUGGAGAGCCCUCUGCCAGCUCAGCAAGCAGCCCGCAGUGUCCCGCCACCAAACCGCCCUGCGCCGUGUUCAGUACUCGGGAGCGCCCGUCCAGCCCGAGCUGCGCUUCGCUGCAUCUGUGAGAGUGUCUCGUUCUGCCCACUGUCCUGCUGUAAGUAGAUCUGAAAGUCUUGGUUACUUGAAGUUACAAUAUCAAGCCCGCAGUCGCUAGAAUCAGCCCAGCGCGGCCACGUGUGCGCGUGGCAUCCUGCGCGCCGGCACCAGGCUUGGCUACGAGCUCAGUCUGGCGGCUCCACUGUCUGAGCUCUUCUUCUCGGAAGUGGGCAUCAUUUCUGGCGUCUAGCUCUGCUUACAGGAGGGAGACAGCGGCUGGCCUGUGGCUUAGCCGACCACUGUCCCUGGUCUUUGAUGCUGACCUCAUGGGGACGCCUGCUGUUUUUUCAGGCAAAACGGCACCAGGCAGAGUCCACGUGCUGCGGGGGCUCCGUGGCAUCGUCAUGUCUUCCGCAUGCAGGAAGGACGGCGGGACCUGACGGCUGUCACCGAGCUAGCUGUUUCCUGGCCAGAAAGAUGAGCCCUGUUCACUCUNNNGGGGGGGGACUCCCUGCAGGGGGCAUGUCUCUAUCUCUGGUCCUCACUGUUCUUUCUUUGUGGUUUUCCACUGUAAUGGCAGAGUUGAAACACUUAGAAGAAAAAAUUACUUUUAUUUUUGGUAAAGAGAUUCAGACAUUUGAUAAGAAUGUGUUUUUGCGUGUGUGUGGCACUGCCUUUCUUUUCCUCUUUGGAGAAGUUAGUUUGGGGAAGUGCCACAAAGUUGUGGGGCAGGAGUAGAAAGAGCCGGCAGCCAUCAGGGUGAGCGCGCGGACUGUGGUCCGGAUGGACGACGUGGACCGGGAAGGACAGGCGUGCUGACUCGUGACCUGCAGCUCCCACCCCGUGUAGUGACAGGAAGGCUUCCCGUGCGCCCGCACAGCAGAGCACAGCAGACCCCCCCCCGAGACUCUGGGAGCAUUUCAUGGGGCUGUUCCCAGUUUCCCUAAACCACAGGAGAUUUUCACUUCUUACUUGAAGGGCAAAUGCAGGAAAAAAAGGCAUAGUUUUCCUCUGUGUCACAGUUAAGGCUUUGGCUCUUUGUCUCGUAACUUAAAGGAUUAUAAUUAUGAUCUCUGUGGGAUGAUCCAAACUUGCCCUGUGCCCAUGGGUUUUAAUGCUUCCUCCCAGAGAACCCAAAUCACCACAUUUCUAAAUUCCAC